CCUACGGGAGGCAGCAGUGAGGAAUAUUGGUCAAUGGGCUUACGCCUGAACCAGCCAAGUCGCGUGAGGGAAGACUGCCCUAUGUGUUGUAAACCUCUUUUGUCAGGGAGCAAUUGGCGCUACGUGUAGCGUUAUCGAGAGUACCUGACUAAGAAGCUCCGGCUAAAUACGUGCCAGCAGCCGCGGUAAUACGUAUGGAGCAAGCGUUAUCCGGAUUUACUGGGUGUAAAGGGAGCGUAGGCGGCCCUGUAAGUCUGAUGUGAAAAUUUGGGGCUCAACCCCAAACGUGCAUUGGAAACUGCAGGGCUUGAGUGCCGGAGAGGCAGGCGGAAUUCCUAGUGUAGCGGUGAAAUGCGUAGAUAUUAGGAGGAACACCAGUGGCGAAGGCGGCCUGCUGGACGGUAACUGACGCUGAGGCUCGAAAGCGUGGGGAGCAAACAGGAUUAGAUACCCUUGUAGUC
RNAcentral lists this ribosomal RNA (461 nucleotides) under uncultured bacterium. RNAcentral describes it as "partial 16S ribosomal RNA". It matches the Rfam family "Bacterial small subunit ribosomal RNA", at positions 338 to 795 of the family's 1533-position model. The record is from RNAcentral.